RNAcentral lists this ribosomal RNA (440 nucleotides) under uncultured bacterium. RNAcentral's name for it is "partial 16S ribosomal RNA". It matches the Rfam family "Bacterial small subunit ribosomal RNA", at positions 338 to 795 of the family's 1533-position model. The record is from RNAcentral.
CCUACGGGAGGCAGCAGUGGGGAAUAUUGCACAAUGGGGGAAACCCUGAUGCAGCGACGCCGCGUGAGAGAUGAAGGAUUUCGGGAUGUAAAGCUCUAUCAGCAGGGAAGAAAAGGACGGUACCUGACGAAGAAGCCACGGCUAACGACGGGCCAGCAGCCGCGGUAAUACGUAGGGGGCAAGCGUGAGCCGGAUUGACUGGGUGUACAGGGAGCGGAGACGGUCCGGCAAGCCAGAUGGGAAAGCCGGGGGCUCAACCCCGGGACUGCAUUUGGAACUGUCAGGCUAGAGUGUCGGAGAGGCCGGCGGCAUUCCUCUUGUAGCGGUGAAUUGCGUCGAUAUUAGGAGGCACACCAGUGGCGCCGGCGGCCUGCUGGACUAUGCCUGACGUUGCGGCUCGACCGCGUGGGGAGCAAACCGGAUUCGAUCCCCCAGUAGUC